UACUUCGUAUAUAUUUCUUGGUCUACUCCUCCUUUGACAAUUGGAACAACGAUAAACUGAGAGUUGAGGGUCAGCAGUCAGCAGUCAGCAAAGAUCAGCAGCAUUCAACCCGCUCCUCUACUCCGUAUUACAAAUUCAGAUAAAAAAAAGUAAGAGCUGCUCAAUUUGAGGUUCUAUAUAUUAUUGAAAGAUUGAAUUGAGAUUGUGACCAGACAGAAAUUAUGCAGCAUGUCC
Molecule: long non-coding RNA, 234 nt
Organism: Chenopodium quinoa (quinoa)
Lineage: Eukaryota; Viridiplantae; Streptophyta; Magnoliopsida; Caryophyllales; Amaranthaceae
Exons: 3
Source: RefSeq, a predicted model, not a curated record